RNAcentral lists this ribosomal RNA (1283 nucleotides) under Staphylococcus pseudintermedius. RNAcentral describes it as "partial 23S ribosomal RNA". It matches the Rfam family "Bacterial large subunit ribosomal RNA", at positions 1547 to 2832 of the family's 2925-position model. Lineage: Bacteria; Bacillati; Bacillota; Bacilli; Caryophanales; Staphylococcaceae. The record is from RNAcentral.
CUCUUAAGAUUGAGCUGUGAUGGGGAGAGGAACUUGUUCCUCGAGUCGUUGAUUUCACACUGCCGAGAAAAGCCUCUAGCUAGAAUAACGGUGCCCGUACCGCAAACCGACACAGGUAGUCAAGAUGAGAAUUCUAAGGUGAGCGAGCGAACUCUCGUUAAGGAACUCGGCAAAAUGACCCCGUAACUUCGGGAGAAGGGGUGCUCUUUGAGGUUCACGCUUCGAAGAGCCGCAGUGAAUAGGCCCAAGCGACUGUUUAUCAAAAACACAGGUCUCUGCUAAACCGUAAGGUGACGUAUAGGGGCUGACGCCUGCCCGGUGCUGGAAGGUUAAGAGGAGUGGUUAGCGCAAGCGAAGCUACGAAUCGAAGCCCCAGUAAACGGCGGCCGUAACUAUAACGGUCCUAAGGUAGCGAAAUUCCUUGUCGGGUAAGUUCCGACCCGCACGAAAGGCGUAACGAUUUGGGCACUGUCUCAACGAGAGACUCGGUGAAAUCAUAGUACCGGUGAAGAUGCCGGUUACCCGCGACAGGACGGAAAGACCCCGUGGAGCUUUACUGUAGCCUGAUAUUGAAAUUCGGUACAGUUUGUACAGGAUAGGUAGGAGCCUUAGAAGCGUGAGCGCUAGCUUACGUGGAGGCAUUGGUGGGAUACUACCCUAAUUGUAUUGGAUUUCUAACCCGCAGCACUUAUCGUGCUGGGAGACAGUGUCAGGCGGGCAGUUUGACUGGGGCGGUCGCCUCCUAAAGAGUAACGGAGGCGCUCAAAGGUUCCCUCAGAAUGGUUGGAAAUCAUUCAUAGAGUGUAAAGGCAUAAGGGAGCUUGACUGCGAGACCUACAAGUCGAGCAGGGUCGAAAGACGGACUUAGUGAUCCGGUGGUUCCGCAUGGAAGGGCCAUCGCUCAACGGAUAAAAGCUACCCCGGGGAUAACAGGCUUAUCUCCCCCAAGAGUUCACAUCGACGGGGAGGUUUGGCACCUCGAUGUCGGCUCAUCGCAUCCUGGGGCUGUAGUCGGUCCCAAGGGUUGGGCUGUUCGCCCAUUAAAGCGGUACGCGAGCUGGGUUCAGAACGUCGUGAGACAGUUCGGUCCCUAUCCGUCGUGGGCGUAGGAAAUUUGAGAGGAGCUGUCCUUAGUACGAGAGGACCGGGAUGGACAUACCUCUGGUGUACCAGUUGUCGUGCCAACGGCAUAGCUGGGUAGCUAUGUAUGGACGGGAUAAGUGCUGAAAGCAUCUAAGCAUGAAGCCCCCCUCGAGAUGAGAUUUCCCAACUUCGGUUAUAAG